GCUGGGCGUGGUGGCGCACGCCUGUAAUCCCAGCCACUCGGGAAGCUGAGGCAAGAGAAUCGCUUGAACCCAGGAGGUGAAGGUUGCAGUGAGCCGAUAUUGGGCCACUGCACUCCAGCCUGGGUAACAGAGGGAGACUCUUGUCUUUU
Macaca mulatta (Rhesus monkey) is the source of this 149-nucleotide unclassified non-coding RNA. It matches the Rfam family "Metazoan signal recognition particle RNA". From Rfam's summary of the family: The signal recognition particle (SRP) is a universally conserved ribonucleoprotein. It is involved in the co-translational targeting of proteins to membranes. Lineage: Eukaryota; Metazoa; Chordata; Mammalia; Primates; Cercopithecidae. The record is from Ensembl.